Megalobrama amblycephala (Wuchang bream) is the source of this 389-nucleotide long non-coding RNA. RefSeq lists it as uncharacterized. Lineage: Eukaryota; Metazoa; Chordata; Actinopteri; Cypriniformes; Xenocyprididae. The record is from RefSeq and is a predicted model, not a curated record. The transcript is spliced from 4 exons.
CUUCCCUACCCGACGGUCUUCGGAUCCCCCACUACCAGAAAUUAUGCAGUCGAGAUUCCCACAUUUGGGGAAUUCGCAGGGGUCAGCACAACCGAAGUGCAAUGGCUGAGCCUCGCCCUGGGUGAACCACCUUCUUGAUCAUGGUGUCUCCCCUGCCAGGUAAGUAUGAGUUCCACACGCGCCCUGUAGAGGGGACACUUGAGGGAACAUCAUUCUCAAAGAGGGUGAGGAGUCACUUCACUACAUAUGGUUCAUCAUGGUGAUCUAUUCUAAAUCCUCAAUCUAUACUCUAAACUCUGGAUCUUGUUAAAUCAUCAGUCAUGUCAUUUUUACAGUCUAUGCUGACUGUUUACAAUUAGACCUUCUGGUUGGUCUACAUUCACUGUACA